This 71-nucleotide transfer RNA is filed under the name Marmota monax (woodchuck). RNAcentral's name for it is "tRNA.Ala". It matches the Rfam family "tRNA". From Rfam's summary of the family: Transfer RNA (tRNA) molecules are approximately 80 nucleotides in length. Lineage: Eukaryota; Metazoa; Chordata; Mammalia; Rodentia; Sciuridae. The record is from RNAcentral.
GGGGUUGUGGCUCAGUGGUAGAGCACUUGCCUUGCACGUAUGAAGCACUGGGUUUGAUCCUCAGCACCACA